Non-coding RNA from Glycine soja, 109 nucleotides. The record is from Rfam. NCBI's taxonomy places the organism in Eukaryota, Viridiplantae, Streptophyta, Magnoliopsida, Fabales, Fabaceae.
AAGUAUCAUGUCAUCACACCUUGUCACGGACACUCCAUUGUCACAUCAUCACUUUCAAUGAUGUGACAAUGUUGCGUCAGUGAUUGAACAUGAUGACGUGACACUGCAU